CCUACGGGUGGCAGCAGUGAGGAAUAUUGGUCAAUGGGCGGGAGCCUGAACCAGCCAAGCCGCGUGAGGGAAGAAGGUACAGCGUAUCGUAAACCUCUUUUGUCAGGGAACAAAGGCGGGGACUAGUCCCCGGAUGAGGGUACCUGAAGAAAAAGCAUCGGCUAACUCCGUGCCAGCAGCCGCGGUAAUACGGAGGAUGCGAGCGUUAGCCGGAUUUAUUGGGUUUAAAGGGUGAGCAGGCGGUCUGUUAAGUCAGCGGUCAAAGCCCGGGGCUCAACCCCGGCCCGCCGUUGAAACUGGCAGUCUCGAGUUGGAGAGAAGUAUGCGGAAUGCGCGGUGUAGCGGUGAAAUGCAUAGAUAUCGCGCAGAACUCCGAUUGCGAAGGCAGCAUGCCGGCUCCACACUGACGCUGAGGCACGAAAGCGUGGGUAUCGAACAGGAUUAGAUACCCCGGUAGUC
Molecule: ribosomal RNA, 459 nt
Filed under: uncultured bacterium
Lineage: Bacteria
Description: partial 16S ribosomal RNA
Rfam family: Bacterial small subunit ribosomal RNA
Source: RNAcentral